CAGAGUGCGCGGGAGCAGAGUGCUGGGCUUUGGCUCAGCGGGCUUCAGCGCAAGGGGCCUUCGGUGAGAGGAAAUCAGUGAGCCUGAGUACGUGCUUGCUGAGGUAAAAAGAUUUGCAAUAUUGUCUAUGCAGUGAGGAAGAGCGGCAGAAAAUCCCAGUCACCGGAAUGUGAUUCAAGCCCUGCACAGAGCUUCUCCCUUCUCCGUUUCCUGGGAGUGUUGAAGAGACAGAUGGGGAACCUGCUGAGAGCUGCCUGCGGCCAACCCGCCAACUCCAAUCUGCGCCGGAGUUUCCGCCACCCGCUGAAGAGGGCCGUGCCCCAGAGCAAGCUGAGGCUGAAACACCUGAGGCGCAGCGGGCGUUGCUGGAAAUCGCAUGUCAGUAGUGAGAUCCUGUGCUACCUUCCGCGCAAGUUCCUGGAGUGUCCGCACUUGUCAGAGGGCUUGCCGGACUUGGACAUCUGCAAGCUACAUGAGCCUCAGUUCGGGAAGAAAGCAAGCAAUGGGGAAAAGGUUACCCAGUUCAAACACCUCUGAAAUCAAACGAUUACUCCUCACAGAUCCACCAUCCUCAACUUGAGAGCCAAUGUCACCUGCAGUGGAACCUUCAACACGAUAAAACCCAUC
This is a long non-coding RNA of Hypanus sabinus (Atlantic stingray), 627 nucleotides long. RefSeq lists it as uncharacterized. The transcript has 3 exons. The record is from RefSeq and is a predicted model, not a curated record. NCBI's taxonomy places the organism in Eukaryota, Metazoa, Chordata, Chondrichthyes, Myliobatiformes, Dasyatidae.